UUUUUCUGCCCCGGCUCGUUGUUAGCUGUUAAUCAUAUUAAUGUUCUGCCGAUAUCGGUGGAUAUUUGGCCCCAAUCAGUUGGCAUCUACCAACUUGGAAAUGGACUGAACCACCGGUUGAUAAUAAGAAGGAUUUUCUAUGGGAUCGUGCAGGACCGCGAUACGCAAAAUCGUUGCCGGAGUUAGGGUUUCCGUGUUCGCCAAAAAGAGAAACAUGGCUCAAGAUUUUCAAAAUUCAAACAUCUUUUGGAGCUCAGCAUGAAAAACGAUUGGAAUUAACAAGAGUGAGAACUUUAACAAAAUCCUCUGUGCGAAUCUAUUAUAACCAACAAAGAAUCAACGGCUUCGUUUUUGGUAUCACAAGAAGAAAAAGGAUACCGGAGGACGCAAAAGCUUUGGUUCAUAAAUCAAUAUCUUCAGUAUUCGUGAAACGCCAUUAUGUUUCGAAAAAUACCAGCGGGAGGUGAAAAACAACAGCCUUCGACCGGUUGUGUUCAUUGCGUUGUUGUACUUCAAGGCCUUGUAACUACUCCCCACCUAAGCGGGUGUUUGAAAUUGUACAUGAAUUGAGAAUACUUUAUAAAAUAUAAAAUAAAAUGAAAAUAAUCGAAAUGCCAUUAUACAUAUAUUCAUUUUUGAACAGAUUCACAACGGAUUAUUCGAAAUUUAAAAUUAACUAAAAUUCUAGUAAUUUUUGGGGGUCAAUAAAUUUUUGCUUAAAUUUUAGCUAAAAUAAUUUUAUAUGCUGAAAAAUUAGUAAAAAUUUAGUCCGGACACUUUUCCACUAUUUUGCUAAAAUUUCAGUUAGAAAAAAUUGCUAAUUUCAUUGCUAACUUUUUAGCUGGUCAAAUUUGAGCAAAAUUUUGCUAAUUUCCGACCUCGAAAAUUUUG
Long non-coding RNA from Uranotaenia lowii, 891 nucleotides. RefSeq lists it as uncharacterized. Lineage: Eukaryota; Metazoa; Arthropoda; Insecta; Diptera; Culicidae. The record is from RefSeq and is a predicted model, not a curated record. The transcript has 4 exons.